UGAUUUAAAGUACCGACAAAAGAGGUGGGAGUAAGUCACAAGCAAGUCUCAAGUCUCUGUGGUGAGAAUCAAGCAAAUCGAGUCACUGCUAUAAGUCAAGCAAGUCACAAGUCAAGU
Molecule: long non-coding RNA, 117 nt
Organism: Sander lucioperca (pikeperch)
Lineage: Eukaryota; Metazoa; Chordata; Actinopteri; Perciformes; Percidae
Exons: 3
Source: RefSeq, a predicted model, not a curated record